CAGAAAGUCAUUUAAACAGUUCUUCCUCUUUAACUAGAUGGAAAUUGUUUUUAGCUGCAAGUUUUGUGUAUGUGUGUGUACUUGUACACAUCAUUGUGUUUGAACCAAUAGAAAAGCUCCUCCUCAGAGGAAGAGGGCGGGCUUUACUUGGCAUCAGUGACAGAAAUGAAAAAAAGCUCAAAUGAGUGAGAAGGACGAUGAAGGAAACGUCUGUGCUGUGUCUGCUCUACGUUAAACCAGAGCCAGAUGUCGUCUACUCUUCACUGAAGUAGUCCACCAGUCCAACCACUGACAUCCAGCUGCUGGAGCCUAUCCCAGCUGUAGGGUGAGAAGCGGGGUACACCCUGGACAAGUCGCCAGUCUGUCGCAGGGCCAACACACAGGGACAGACAACCAUUCGCACUCACAUUCACCUAUGGGCAAUUUGGAGUAACCAAUUAACCUAUCCCCACUAAGUGCAUGUCUUUGGACAGUGGGAGGAAGCCGGAGUACCCGGAGAGAACAUGCAAACUCCACACAGAAAGACCCCGGCCUGAUGGUGGAAUUGAACUCAGGACCUUCUUGCUGUGCAACAACAGUGCUAACCACCGUGCUGCCCUCUCUUUUCUCAUUUCUAUGAAAAUGUUUCAAAAUAACUGGACAGAAAAUUGAGUGUCUGUCUGCUGAAACACUGCAAGGCUGUUAGAGAAGGGAAAAGGAGAAAGAAUCAGAGAGUGUUGUUUAUGGUCAGUAGUUGAGGUGAAUUAAGGUUAUAAUAAUAAUACUUCUCACAAUAAUAUACCAAUUUUUAUAAGAUACAGGGAAAUGGUUGCUAGAGGGUUACUCUCCAGGGCACUAGAGGUUUUUGCAUUACUAUUUUUAAAGCCUGGUAGAAUUGCAACCACAUUUUCUUUUUUUUGCAUAUGAGGAAUUGUACUUACAUGUAAUGCAUUCAGCUUGUCCUAGGUCACGGUUUCCUUCCACACAUGGCUUUGCAAAAACUGCAUAAAAAGCACUUGCAGCAACAAAAACACAAUAUUCCAGAAACACACUUUACUGAUCUGAUUGGCUGUUGAACUUAAGUUACACUGCUGGAAAUAGUUUAUUUUGAUGCACAAAAUAAACUUCCUGUGGUUGGAAACUACUGUGUGCAACCUUUUUGCAUUUUCAGUUUUGAGGAAUAAAAGUUUGAUAUUUCUCUAACUAGAAAUAACUAUUUUCAUGGGUUUUUUUGUAGUUUAUUGCACCUUUUAUGAAUUGAUGUAGUUACUAUAGACUUA
Molecule: long non-coding RNA, 1259 nt
Organism: Oreochromis aureus
Lineage: Eukaryota; Metazoa; Chordata; Actinopteri; Cichliformes; Cichlidae
Source: Ensembl